AUUGAACGCUGGCGGCAGGCCUAACACAUGCAAGUCGAGCGGAUGAAGGGAGCUUGCUCCUGGAUUCAGCGGCGGACGGGUGAGUAAUGCCUAGGAAUCUGCCUGGUAGUGGGGGAUAACGUCCGGAAACGGGCGCUAAUACCGCAUACGUCCUGAGGGGGAAAGUGGGGGAUCUUCGGACCUCACGCUAUCAGAUGAGCCUAGGUCGGAUUAGCUAGUUGGUGGGGUAAAGGCCUACCAAGGCGACGAUCCGUAACUGGUCUGAGAGGAUGAUCAGUCACACUGGAACUGAGACACGGUCCAGACUCCUACGGGAGGCAGCAGUGGGGAAUAUUGGACAAUGGGCGAAAGCCUGAUCCAGCCAUGCCGCGUGUGUGAAGAAGGUCUUCGGAUUGUAAAGCACUUUAAGUUGGGAGGAAGGGCAGUAAGUUAAUACCUGGCUGUUUUGACGUUACCAACAGAAUAAGCACCGGCUAACUUCGUG
This 484-nucleotide ribosomal RNA is filed under the name uncultured bacterium. Its description in RNAcentral is "partial 16S ribosomal RNA". It matches the Rfam family "Bacterial small subunit ribosomal RNA", at positions 30 to 507 of the family's 1533-position model. The record is from RNAcentral.